This is a small nucleolar RNA of Nannospalax galili (Upper Galilee mountains blind mole rat), 129 nucleotides long. NCBI's taxonomy places the organism in Eukaryota, Metazoa, Chordata, Mammalia, Rodentia, Spalacidae. The record is from Ensembl.
UGUGUGUGUGUGUGUGUUUAUUCAACUGAAGGACAAAGACAUGAAACACAGGUGCAAAAAUUAGAUCCUCUUUUGCAACCUAGAACUCAUUGUUCAGUAUGAGUUUUGAUACAAAGAAGAAGGAAUAUA